UGGGGAAUUUUGGACAAUGGGCGAAAGCCUGAUCCAGCCAUGCCGCGUGAGUGAAGAAGGCCUUCGGGUUGUAAAGCUCUUUUAGUCGGAAAGAAAGAGUUGCAAUGAAUAAUUGUGAUUUAUGACGGUACCGACAGAAAAAGCACCGGCUAACUACGUGCCAGCGGCCGCGGUAAUACGUAGGGUGCGAGCGUUAAUCGGAAUUACUGGGCGUAAAGGGAGCGCAGGCGGUCUUGCAAGUCAGAUGUGAAAGCCCCGGGCUUAACCUGGGAAUUGCGUUUGAAACUACAAGAUUAGAGUGCAGCAGAGGGGAGUGGAAUUCCAUGUGUAGCAGUGAAAUGCGUAGAGAUGUGGAAGAACACCGAUGGCGAAGGCAGCUCCCUGGGUUGACACUGACGCUCAUGCACGAAAGCGUGG
Molecule: ribosomal RNA, 417 nt
Filed under: uncultured bacterium
Lineage: Bacteria
Description: bacterial SSU rRNA
Rfam family: Bacterial small subunit ribosomal RNA
Source: RNAcentral